Molecule: long non-coding RNA, 6712 nt
Organism: Centrocercus urophasianus (Greater sage-grouse)
Lineage: Eukaryota; Metazoa; Chordata; Aves; Galliformes; Phasianidae
Exons: 3
Source: RefSeq, a predicted model, not a curated record
GGGGCGGUGCGCGGCUGUGCCGCCGGACUGAGCCGCGGCCCCUUCGGGGAUCCGCGAGGAGAGCAGCUCUUGGAAAGCCCCGCGGCUUCCUCGAUCGCCUUCACUUUAUUCGGAAUUUCAGUUCUCCGGCCGCGAGUGCUGUUGCGUGUGGGAGACGAGCGGGGAGCCGCGUUUGUGCAGCCUGGUGGGGGAUCGGGGAACCUCAGAAAAGCCUUUAAAGGUUUAUCUUUGUACUGUGUGCUGGGCAGUCCUGAAGGGGAGGUUCUGUGUGAAGAGAAGUCUGAGAUUUUGGCCUUAGCAACCCUUACAAGUGCAGGAGAGGAAGAAUUAAGGAGAAUGGCUGUGGUGUGCAGAGUCUGAAGAAUCCAUGUCAGUGUAUCCGGUCCCCUUUUCAUGCAGUGUAAGGAAGACGGUGAUGGGAGGAUUCAGUCUUCCCCGUGGUACCAGCAGAAGAGCAAGAACAGCACCUGAGAGCUAGAUGCAGAGAUCCAUGGCUUUUUGCUUCUCAUACAGAUUACUUCUUGUAUCCGAGUCCUCAGAGUGGUGAAACCAUACUGAAGUGGCUUUUUGCUUUGACGGCUUUGCAAUCUCUGACUUUCUGGCAGUAUUCAGUGAUGACUUUCAUUUUCCAAAUGCUGUGAGUAGGUUGGAGACUCUCAAAGCUACAUUUACAGUAAAUGUGAUGCUGCAGUAAUGAUGGGUCAAUUCAGAUUCAGUCUGUAAUGUGGAGGGAAAAAAAAGCCAAACACCUUCAAUAAAAAAUAAUGUUAAAGUGACUUUAGACAGCAACUUAAUAGUUCCGUGUCAUUAUGUGUGCAAUUAAAAGCCUUUACCCAUGAAAAUGGAGUUGCUUGGAUUUGUUAAUCAUCAUUCUUUGCUACGGUGAAAUAGACUGAGGUAAAUUCUUAUGGUGUUAAGAAUGGCUUCAUGCUGUAAUGUGAAAAUCCAUUUUUCACGGAGCAACAAUUUCUCUCUUAAUGCUUUUCUCCAUUCUUGGCGCUGUCUGAAAUGAUGACAGUGUCACAGUAACACGAAGCUUUCAGAUGUAACAUUCCCAGCAUUAUCUUCAGCUGUGCUUCCACUCUGCUCUGUAACUUCUGUUGAAAGGCACUGGGCUGGGUGACCCAGAGCACCUGAGAGUGCAGCAGCAGGAGUUACUUGUGUCACUGAGCUCUACCCAGAAACUCCUCUCUGGCUUCAGUUGCUCUUGUUGCUUUAAGGAGACACCUUGUACAGAUUAGAAGUUCAUUUUUUAAGCAGAUAAGAGUUGUUUCUCUGUGUCCCACAGAGCUUCAGUGACUGAAGGAACUGUCCUGCAACUGGGAGGCUGCUUUUGUGCUGCUGGAAGUGGCUGUGGGGGAGGGAGGGAGGAUGUGGUUGGGAUUAAAGUGUUACGGCAAUCUUCCGGGCAGACUUGCUCUUUAGGGUUCAGCUGUUUCAGUCGUGUUGGCAAAUCUCUGCUCUGUCCAUCUUUGUCACCCACACAAGUGACUGCACAGAACAUUUUGCUCCUUUGGGGCCUGUCACAAAAUGAAGAUUUUUUUUAACUAUCUCUGUACAGUUAGCGUUUAAAAAGUAGGGUAAUAAUCGUCCCUGAAAGCGGGUUGAAAUGGUGCUGGGCUGUAACUGCUGCAGUUGGAUAGAAGCUGUUACAAUCAGGCUUUUUUUUGGAAGCCCUCUCCUUGGAGCCAGGCCUCAGGGCACGAGGUGCCAGGCGCUUUGGGUAGCAGACCCUGUGGGAGCUUAGUGCUGGUCCUGUGCUUGCCCAAGUCCUGCACCCAGGUCGUGGCUGUCUGAGGGACUGACUGCGUUCUGCAGAGGAAAUGUGAGGGUUGUGCUCUUCCUCUGACACCCGCAAAAAGCGAAGCACAAGAGAAACCAAUGGCAGAGCUGGAGCUUUGCCUGGCUGGUAGGAAAGGCUGUGUGCGGAUCUGAGGUCUCUGCAGACCCCAUCUACAGCUCUGAGCACAGAAUUCCCUUUGUAAAUCUGCCCCGAGCUCCUUCUGGAAGAUGUCUAGCUUUUUAAAAUUCCCAUCUAGAUGCAUCUGUAAGCUGGCCAAAUCCCAUCAGAAAUCGGUGACCUUGCUGAUGCUGCUCUGGCAAUGGCCAGACAUUAGAGCUGCAGGAAAGUGAAUUUCUAUCCAAAAUGUGGUACUUCACCUUGAGGUAAAAUCAGCUAUGCAGUAAAUCUGUGCUCCACAGAAAAUCUAAAGCAAGGCUUUUAUUAAAUUUUACCCAGAGCUUCUAUAACAGCGUUACACGUGGUUUAACCAUUAAAAAAAAAAAUUAAAAAAAAAUCACUGGUGUGGUUUCAAAGACAGGAAAUAAAGCAGGGUCUGGGCAACAGCUAGACAUUAAUUAAGGUAGAACUGAGCACUGUCAUUUCAGCCAACUUGCUGGCUGGGUCCAUGUCACACUUCCUCCAGCUCUGCCAGAAGCUGCUACCUCCUUGUGCUGGUGGCCUCUCCAUCUCUGGCACUCAACUUCUGAUCCAGCCUGCUCACAGUGGCUCUGGCUGCUGCUGGGCCCUCAAGUAACAAGCUUGGUAACUCAAAUGAGGAGCAAACUGGUAGGUUUGAUGGUUUGAACUCUCCUUCAACUUAUUUGCCAUGCUGGUGUGUCCUAGUGUUAGUCUGUUUUCUGAGGUGACAAGCGAUAGGGUGUGAGUAAGCUGCCUCAAACUGUGCUGAGGGAGGCUUAGAUUGGAUAUCGGGAAGAACUUCUUCACAAAAAGGUGGUUAGGGGUUGGAAAGUGCUGCUCAGUGGAGUCCCCAUCUCAGGUGGUAUUUAAGACAUAUGGUUGGGACACCAGGUGACAUGGUUUAGUGGUGGACUUGUGUUAGGUGAUGAUUGGACUUGGUGUUCAUGAAGGUUGUCCUAAAUGAUCCCAUGACUCUUUGAACUACAGGUUUUAAAGGCUUUUCAACACUACAGUAAUCUGAAGAGUGUUGUCUGCAUAUGGAUCCUGUGUCCUUUUUCCCUACUGCUGGCAAGCAAUGUGAAUACAGCACAUCUUCGUCUGCUGUUCUGUUGUUUGUUUGUUUUUCAUGUCUCAUUGACACACAUUGCCCCAGGGGAAAAUUUAAAUGAUAAAAAUAAAUUCUUGUUGGAUCGUUUGCUUGAAUUUCAAGAUAUUUUGCAGUUCCAGAAACGUGAUGGUGUCAGUAGCAUGCUCCAGGGGCCAGGGUAAUCCAAAGUGGUUUGCAAAUGCUUGUAAUUCAGGAUUUGGUGAGAAAUUAUUCAGCUUAAGGUGGUUAAUAAGUUCAUGCUGUAAUGUUGAUGAUAAUAAGUUCUUCAGACAUCUAGACGUGUGAUUGCACUGAGUGCAGCUAAACGAAACCUUCUGUGUGUGUGUUACUUGUGGGAGAUCCCAUCCCACACAGCGAUGCCCAGCAGCAUCAGUGUGGCUGGAGGCAGUCAGCUGCGCCUUCCCUGGCUCCCAGAAGGAGCCCCGGGCAAUGUGAGGAACUAUGACCAGCUGAUCACUGUGGUUAUUGUUAAUUUUACAACAAAAGGAGAGGACAGAUUGCUGUAGAGCCUGGUUGGAGGGUUGUCAGUGCGUUUUGAAGGCUGAAAGUUCCCUUGUUUCACUAUUACCUCUGCUUACCCAUAUUUAGCUGCUUGAAGAUGCUGCCAAAUGCAUCAGCGCUGAUAGAAGUAACUUCGCUAAGUCUGAUUAUUUGUGCUGUUAGGUUUUGAGGUCAGCUCUGCAAAACAGUUCAGAAUGACUUAAUCCAGAGGUUAUAAUGAGGAGCAUUUCUAUAUACAAAAGCAGUUUGGAUGAUGGGCAGAGAGGAGUGUAAUUGCACUAGUUAGAUUUGGAGUGGGGCGCUAACUUUGUGACUUUCUGUUAUGUUGAAGAAUGACUUUCUUAGCUUUGUUUUCAGCAGCUUGAACUUUUAACCUUUUGUUCUGUUCAAAACUUCAGCUGCUCAGUGCCAAGCUGGACACUGCAGGGUUGGACGGGCAGUCUCUGUGAAAUGGAUGCUCCAAACAACUGUAUCCAGCCUGUGCUCUCUGACUUGCAAUCAAGCCAGCAGGUUCCUGCUUUUGAGUAACUUUGCUACAGUGGACUUAAAAAAAAAAAAAAAAAAAAAAAAAAGUUGCAUCACCCCAUGCAAUUCCAUUAAAGGAAGAUGAUGUUACAGAUUACUGUCAGAACUGUCAGGCUGUUGUGGGUUAUUGAUAUUCCACUUCUGCUGGACUGCAUUAAUCCCUUCUGUUGGUGUUCAGACAAAUGGCCCAGAUGAGAGAGUCACUGACCAGUAAAAGCAGUAGUUGAACGAGUUUGGUGUUCACUGCCAGCCUUGGCAGGUGCUUGGGCUGAGCUGAGCAGAAGCAGCUUUAGGGAUGCAUACAAGGUGUGGCAGCAAGCCCUCUCCUGUUCAGGGAUGACAGGGAAUUGAAAGAAUACUUUCUUUCAGCUUCUGUUUGCGAAGAAAGAAGGAGUUUCCAACUCUUCUGUACAAUGAGUUGCUCUCUGAGCUUGGCAAUGAGCUUAUACAAGAUUGCAGUACCCAUAAGCCAUCACCUUCUGAUUGCCCUUCCGAUAGUGACUUGACUCGAGAUAAUUUAAAGAGACAGUGGUAACUAGCUUGAUAAUUACAGCCAGUGCAAUAUUAUUUCCUUCCUCUCCUUGUCUGAAUUUGGCCUUUCCAGUGAGCAAACAAGGUGAUUGCUGGCCAAAGGAGGACAGAGCUCAGAAACACGAGAUUUGCUCUGUUGGACUGUGCACUUCUUUCUGCUAGUGAGAUCCUGAUGCUGCCAUCCCGCCUCUGGCACUGACUUGCUUGGCUGAAGCUGUCUGCUCUUUCUGUAUCUGCUCCUUCAUGUCCAUAACCAAGCAGUCAUUGCCUCCCACUGAAGUCCUUGGGUGGUUGGUGAGAGACGUGGGAGCAAAUGGGGAUGGCUCUUACUCUGCUUGCACGAUGUAGGUAGCAGGAUUUUGCCUUAUUGCAGUGGAGCACUUUUAAAAGCACCGCUUCAUGUCAACAGGAAUUAUAUUCCUGUCCAGCAGGUGCUUCAUACUGGACCUUUCCUGUGAGUGAGUGCUGUCUGCUGCAGAAACUCUGUGAUCGUGGCCUCGCAUCUGGGCUCCAAAUGGCAGCAGGAGCCUGGCAGCAAAGUGCAGAGAUUCCCUGCUUCCACUUUAUGGUUCAGUUAAGAUGAACCCUAAGGCUUAUUUACCUACAAAACUGGGUCUGUUUGUGUGCAAGUCCAUCUCUGCCUGUACCAAAGCCAAGUAACCCAACCUACUGGAAGCGUGUUUGGGAUUGAUGCCAGAUUCCCAAACUGGAGAGCAUCAGCUUGCAACUCAAGUGGUGUUGACAUUUGCGGGAAGGCUUUAUGUUCUAAGCCAUCAGAUGUUGGCUGGUGUGUGUAAUCAACUUGGUAUAAUUUUGCUUCAGAAUGAAAUAUUCAGUCAGAAGAGACUUAAUGCUUCUAAUGUCUGGGUAGCAAGCGAUGCUGUGUAGAUCAAGGCAUACAUCUCGUGUUUCAGAGACUGGUUUCAUGGCAACUCCUGUUUGUUACUAUGGUACACAGUCAGUCCUGAGGGAUUUUACUGCCCAUCACUUCUUAGGUCAUGUGAGUAAUCUAGAUAUAAAACCCAUGGAUGUAUGCUAACAGUGGAGACAAAAAGCAAUAAGAAAAUACUGAUGAUCUGCAAAUCUAGUUGUCCUGGGGGACAAAUGUAAAGCUUUAUUCUGCUUAGUGAUUUAGAGUUAGGUAACAAAGCUUGUGACCAGAGCAGGAGGAAAAUGGAAACAGAAGGGGUAAGCAAAACACUUGGGUUUUGCCAGAAGAAAUCGAAGACCAAAAAGAAACCACCGCGGCACAGAUGAUAGAAGGUGAAAUGCCGAAGACUCUCCCUGGAUCCGUAAGACAGCUGAGGAUUUGCUGAAAGAGAGUUAACAUCCAGUAACCAAGUAGUGCUGUUUGUUUAAACAGACUGGAACAGGAUGUUGUGUGUAUUUGCUCCAUCCAGUUCCUAUGCCUCUCCAUUACGAAGCUCACCGGCCACUUCUGGUCUCUCUACAUACGUCUGGUAUUACAGUUCUAAUGCUACAGCUCCAUUGCUUCUAAGACUUGAACUUUAUUGUCUUGUCUUCUCAUCUGAGAGCCAUCCCAGUCACUGAAAUCUUCUUUUUAUGCUUUGUGAAAACUGAAGUGAAGUUUCUCCGAGUUUGCCUUGGAGACUGGGCUGAAUUUGCAUAGAAUAAGACCAGAAGAAGCAGCUGCACGCAGAGGUCCUGUCUGCUUGGUGGCUGGUUUGUUUGUUUGCUUAGAUGGCAUCCAGGCAGGUCUGUGGGAGAACACAAGUACUGACCCAGUACCAUCAGAUGGUUCUGAUAGUCUGGUCACUUCUGUAAGUGCAACCAACUGCUGGGUGAGAUUCACAACAGGCAGAUUGCUGUUGUUAUGAGAAAGGAUGCAAACAUUUCUGUAGUUGCAUGCAGCUGGUAGGUGGGGACUCUUGUUUUGUAUGUGAGCAUUUAGUCUGGUUUUGUUGUCUGACUGACAAACAAGAUUGAGUGGUAACAGAACGAAUCUCACUUUCAGGGAAAACCAUUUCUUUUUUAAGGCAACUGUAAGACAGCUUGUAAUGCUGACUUGUAACAUUGUAACGUUCUGUGAUCAUAGAAUGGUGGAAUGCUUUGGGUUGGAAGGGACCUUUCAGAUCAUGUAGCUCCAACCCCCUGCUACAGGCAGG